Molecule: ribosomal RNA, 433 nt
Filed under: uncultured bacterium
Lineage: Bacteria
Description: partial 16S ribosomal RNA
Rfam family: Bacterial small subunit ribosomal RNA
Source: RNAcentral
AGCGAACGCUGGCGGCAGGCCUAACACAUGCAAGUCGAACGAACUCUUCGGAGUUAGUGGCGGACGGGUGAGUAACACGUGGGAACGUGCCUUUUGGUUCGGAAUAACUCAGGGAAACUUGUGCUAAUACCGAAUGUGCUCUUCGGGGGAAAGAUUUAUCGCCAUUAGAGCGGCCCGCGUCUGAUUAGCUAGUUGGUGAGGUAACGGCUCACCAAGGCGACGAUCAGUAGCUGGUCUGAGAGGAUGACCAGCCACACUGGGACUGAGACACGGCCCAGGCUCCUACGGGAGGCAGCAGUGGGGAAUCUUGCGCAAUGGGCGAAAGCCUGACGCAGCCAUGCCGCGUGAAUGAUGAAGGUCUUAGGAUUGUAAAAUUCUUUCACCGGGGACGAUAAUGACGGUACCCGGAGAAGAAGCCCCGGCUAACUUCGUG